UUUUGGUUAAUGGCGGCUUACCUAGCAAUUGAGCUUGGUUGGUGGCUGUUCGCUGGGUGGUCUCGGGGAUGUCUACCGUAAAGGUGCAUGAGUGGUGUUUGGCUUGUUACGGGUGGUUGGCUCUUUGCUUGCGCAACAACUUCCACCUGGCAUGCCUCUUCAGUUUUGUGUCCAUGCUUGUAUCGCAUUGACGCAUUGUGGGUUUCUUGUGUUGUAUGCCUAAUCGAUGGUAUCGUUUGACGAAAUGAUGUUAGCUUCAUCUUGAGUCGCACUUGCGAUUCGAGAUGAACCAUAUAGCAGCCUUUGUGAUCCACUUAUUUGAUUGCACACGCGUUGAAUUUGUGGCUCAUUUAGCGAUGUUUGGACUCAUUGAUAUGGAACCUUCUGUAGGCAUGGGAUCUUUUAGUAGAUCCUUGUUUGCCCUAUUUAAGCGUUUCAAAUACGAUUUCCUAUCACGUUAAGACGUGGUAGGCUAUAUCGAAUAUGAAUG
Molecule: unclassified non-coding RNA, 490 nt
Filed under: Actinobole condensatum
Lineage: Eukaryota; Viridiplantae; Streptophyta; Magnoliopsida; Asterales; Asteraceae
Description: partial external transcribed spacer
Source: RNAcentral